RNAcentral lists this ribosomal RNA (497 nucleotides) under uncultured bacterium. RNAcentral's name for it is "partial 16S ribosomal RNA". It matches the Rfam family "Bacterial small subunit ribosomal RNA", at positions 28 to 507 of the family's 1533-position model. The record is from RNAcentral.
GACGAACGCUGGCGGCGUGCCUAAUACAUGCAAGUAGAACGCUGAAGAGAGGAGCUUACUCUUCUUGGAUGAGUUGCGAACGGGUGAGUAACGCGUAGGUAACCUGCCUUGUAGCGGGGGAUAACUACUGGAAACGAUAGCUAAUACCGCAUAACAAUGGAUGACACAUGUCAUUUAUUUGAAAGGGGCAAUUGCUCCACUACAAGAUGGACCUGCGUUGUAUUAGCUAGUAGGUGAGGUAAUGGCUCACCUAGGCGACGAUACAUAGCCGACCUGAGAGGGUGAUCGGCCACACUGGGACUGAGACACGGCCCAGACUCCUACGGGAGGCAGCAGUAGGGAAUCUUCGGCAAUGGGGGCAACCCUGACCGAGCAACGCCGCGUGAGUGAAGAAGGUUUUCGGAUCGUAAAGCUCUGUUGUAAGUCAAGAACGGGUGUGAGAGUGGAAAGUUCACACUGUGACGGUAGCUUACCAGAAAGGGACGGCUAACUACGUG